GUGAAAAGGGUGGGUAGAAGUGAUGCUUUUGCUACGGAGUUUGAUCUUGAAGCUGAAGAAUAUGUUCCACUUCCUAAAGGGGAGGUUCACAAACGCAAAGAAAUAGUUCAGGAUGUGACUCUACAUGAUCUAGAUGCUGCCAAUGCACGGCCUCAAGGUGGGCAGGAUAUACUAUCUCUAAUGGGUCAGAUGAUGAAGCCAAGGAAAACAGAAAUCACAGACAAGUUGCGGCAAGAAAUAAAUAAGGUGGUUAACCGAUAUAUCGAUGAAGGUAUAGCAGAGCUAGUCCCGGGAGUUCUAUUCAUUGAUGAGGUGCAUAUGCUGGAUAUGGAGUGUUUUUCGUACUUAAAUCGAGCUUUAGAGAGCUCACUCUCGCCAAUAGUGAUCUUUGCUACAAACAGAGGAAUCUGCAAUGUGCGAGGGACUGAUAUGAAUAGUCCUCAUGGAAUACCUGUUGACUUGUUGGACCGAUUGGUGAUCAUCCGAACUCAAACUUAU
Molecule: unclassified non-coding RNA, 498 nt
Filed under: Hevea brasiliensis (rubber tree)
Lineage: Eukaryota; Viridiplantae; Streptophyta; Magnoliopsida; Malpighiales; Euphorbiaceae
Source: RNAcentral